AACGAACGCUGGCGGCAGGCCUAACACAUGCAAGUCGAACGCCCUAGCAAUAGGGAGUGGCAGACGGGUGAGUAACACGUGGGAACGUUCCUUUCGGUUCGGAAUAACCCAGGGAAACUUGGACUAAUACCGGAUACGUGCGAGAGCAGAAAGAUUUAUCGCCGAAAGAUCGGGCCCGNGUCCGAUUAGCUAGUUGGUGAGGUAACGGCUCACCAAGGCGACGAUCGGUAGCUGGUCNGAGAGGAUGAUCAGCCACACUGGGACUGAGACACGGCCCGGACU
RNAcentral lists this ribosomal RNA (282 nucleotides) under uncultured bacterium. RNAcentral describes it as "partial 16S ribosomal RNA". It matches the Rfam family "Bacterial small subunit ribosomal RNA", at positions 29 to 337 of the family's 1533-position model. The record is from RNAcentral.